RNAcentral lists this ribosomal RNA (663 nucleotides) under uncultured organism. Its description in RNAcentral is "SSU rRNA". It matches the Rfam family "Bacterial small subunit ribosomal RNA", at positions 787 to 1464 of the family's 1533-position model. The record is from RNAcentral.
CUGGUAGUCCACACAGUAAACGAUGAAUACUCGCUGUUUGCGAUAUACAGUAAGCGGCCAAGCGAAAGCAUUAAGUAUUCCACCUGGGGAGUACGCCGGCAACGGUGAAACUCAAAGGAAUUGACGGGGGCCCGCACAAGCGGAGGAACAUGUGGUUUAAUUCGAUGAUACGCGAGGAACCUUACCCGGGCUUAAAUUGCAAAUGAAUUAUGGGGAAACCCAUACGCCGCAAGGCAUUUGUGAAGGUGCUGCAUGGCUGUCGUCAGCUCGUGCCGUGAGGUGUCGGCUUAAGUGCCAUAACGAGCGCAACCCUUAUCUUCAGUUACUAACAGGUCAUGCUGAGGACUCUGGAGAGACUGCCGUCGUAAGAUGUGAGGAAGAUGGGGAUGACGUCAAAUCAGCACGGCCCUUACGUUCGGGGCUACACACGUGUUACAAUGGGGGGUACAGAAGGCCGCUACCUGGUGACAGGAUGCCAAUCCCAAAAACCUCUCUCAGUUCGGAUCGAAGUCUGCAACCCGACUUCGUGAAGCUGGAUUCGCUAGUAAUCGCGCAUCAGCCAUGGCGCGGUGAAUACGUUCCCGGGCCUUGUACACACCGCCCGUCAAGCCAUGAAAGCCGGGGGUACCUGAAGUACGUAACCGCAAGGAGCGUCCUAGGGUA